UCAGAAAUAUUGUAACGCGGUAUUAUAUAAAUAUUGUUUGCUGUUCACUCUGUCGAUACCAUAUUCUAUUUUCCGCGGCAACACGUCGACAACCUGAUCGCAGUUUGUUAAUCGCGCCGUAAAAGUAUAGGCAAGACUGUAUACCAAUAAACAUUAGCCUAAACGAUCGUGUUUAAGUGUUAAUACGGAAUGUCUGUCGGGCAAACAGUUAAUCGGUCUAUAACUGACGGUAUAUCGCCAACGCAAAUCGCCGGUUAUAGUUACGUUCUUAUAACAACAAAACCGUAUUGAUAUUUCUUGAUGAAAGUAUGUGCGGGUAGGUAUAUGAAAUCUCACGUGCACCGGCGAUCUGAUACUCAUUAUGUUUGGCAUUUGAAAAUAUUCGGAUUCGAACCUUUAAGAGGUGUAGCCGGUAUAUUCGUGAACAAUCGAAAUAUAAAAAUCGAAAACGAGAAUUUAACGU
Cinara cedri is the source of this 463-nucleotide non-coding RNA. The record is from the annotation of a GenBank genome assembly. NCBI's taxonomy places the organism in Eukaryota, Metazoa, Arthropoda, Insecta, Hemiptera, Aphididae.